GAUCAUGGCUCAGGAUGAACGCUAGCGACAGGCCUAACACAUGCAAGUCGAGGGGCAGCGGGGAGGUAGCAAUACCUUUGCCGGCGACCGGCGCACGGGUGAGUAACACGUAUGCAAUCCACCUGUAACAGGGGGGAUAACCCGGAGAAAUCCGGACUAAUACCCCAUAAUAUGGGCUCUCCGCAUGGAGGGUUCAUUAAAAGAGAGCAAUUUUGGUUACAGACGAGCAUGCGCUCCAUUAG
This 242-nucleotide ribosomal RNA is filed under the name uncultured bacterium. RNAcentral's name for it is "partial 16S ribosomal RNA". It matches the Rfam family "Bacterial small subunit ribosomal RNA", at positions 15 to 244 of the family's 1533-position model. The record is from RNAcentral.